GUAGGUGGUAAGCGUUGUCCGGAAUUAUUGGGCGUAAAGCGCGCGCAGGCGGUUCUUUAAGUCUGAUGUGAAAGCCCACGGCUCAACCGUGGAGGGUCAUUGGAAACUGGAGAACUUGAGUACAGAAGAGGAAAGCGGAAUUCCACGUGUAGCGGUGAAAUGCGUAGAGAUGUGGAGGAACACCAGUGGCGAAGGCGGCUUUCUGGUCUGUAACUGACGCUGAGGCGCGAAAGCGUGGGGAGCAAACAGGAUUAGAUACCCUGGUAGUCCACGCCGUAAACGAUGAGUGCUAAGUGUUAGGGGGUUUCCGCCCCCCUUAGUGCUGCAGCUAACGCAUUAAGCACUCCGCCUGGGAGUACGGCCGCAAGGCUG
Molecule: ribosomal RNA, 372 nt
Filed under: uncultured organism
Description: partial 16S ribosomal RNA
Rfam family: Bacterial small subunit ribosomal RNA
Source: RNAcentral